This 1348-nucleotide ribosomal RNA is filed under the name metagenome. RNAcentral describes it as "bacterial LSU rRNA". It matches the Rfam family "Bacterial large subunit ribosomal RNA", at positions 1564 to 2925 of the family's 2925-position model. The record is from RNAcentral.
UGAGUACGAGCUGCUAGGGCAGCGAAGUGGGUGAUGUCAAGCUUCCAGGAAAAGCCCUAUACCCGUUAAGGCAUGAUGGCCUGUACCCGAAACCGACACAGGUGGGGUGGUAGAGAAUACCGAGGGGCGCGAGAUAACUCUCUCUAAGGAACUCGGCAAAAUGGCCCCGUAACUUCGGGAGAAGGGGUGCCACCGCAAGGUGGUCGCAGUGAAGAGGCCCAGGCGACUGUUUACCAAAAACACAGGUCUCCGCUAAGUCGCAAGACGAUGUAUGGGGGCUGACGCCUGCCCAGUGCCGGAAGGUUAAGGAAGCUGGUCAGCGUAAGCGAAGCUAGCGACUGAAGCCCCGGUGAACGGCGGCCGUAACAAUAACGGUCCUAAGGUAGCGAAAUUCCUUGUCGGGUAAGUUCCGACCCGCACGAAAGGCGUAACGAUCUGGGCGCUGUCUCGGAGAGAGGCUCGGCGAAAUAGAAUUGUCUGUGAAGAUGCGGACUACGUGCACCCGGACAGAAAGACCCUAUGAAGCUUUACUGUAGCUUGGUAUUGUGCUCGGGCUCGGAAUGCGCUGGAUAGGUGGGAGGCUAUGAACCAUUGCUUGUGGGUGAUGGUGAGCCACUGGUGAGAUACCACUCUUUCCGAGCUAGAGUUCUAACAGCCACCCGUUAUCCGGGGGCUGGACAGUAUCAGGUGGGCAGUUUGUCUGGGGCGGUCGCCUCCUAAAAGGUAACGGAGGCGCGCAAAGGUUUGCUCAGGCUGGUUGGAAAUCAGCCGACGAGUGUAAAAGCAGAAGCAAGCUUGACUGUGAGACCUACAAGUCGAACAGGGAGGAAACUCGGCUUUAGUGAUCCGACGGUUCUGCGUGGAAGGGCCGUCGCUCAACGGAUAAAAGUUACUCUAGGAUAACAGGCUGAUCUCCCCCAAGAGUUCACAUCGACGGGGAGGUUUGGCACCUCGAUGUCGGCUCAUCGCAACCUGGGGCUGAAGUCGGUCCCAAGGGUUGGGCUGUUCGCCCAUUAAAGCGGUACGCGAGCUGGGCUCAGAACGUCGUGAGACAGUUCGGUCCAUAUCCGGUGCAUGCGCAGGAAUAUUGAGAGGAUUUCUCCCUAGUACGAGAGGACCGGGAGGAACGCACCUCUGGUGUACCAGUUAUCGUGCCAACGGUAAACGCUGGGUAGCCAUGUGCGGAGAGGAUAACCGCUGAAAGCAUCUAAGUGGGAAGCCCACCUCAAGAUGAGUAUUCCCAUGGGGUAACCCAGUAAGGUCACGGGAAGAACACCCGUUGAUAGGCUCUACGUGGAAGCGCAGUAAUGUGUGAAGCGGAGGAGUACUAAUAGACCGAGGGCUUGAC